This 97-nucleotide signal recognition particle RNA is filed under the name Klebsiella pneumoniae. RNAcentral describes it as "signal recognition particle sRNA small type". It matches the Rfam family "Bacterial small signal recognition particle RNA". From Rfam's summary of the family: The signal recognition particle (SRP) is a universally conserved ribonucleoprotein involved in the co-translational targeting of proteins to membranes. The record is from RNAcentral. Lineage: Bacteria; Pseudomonadati; Pseudomonadota; Gammaproteobacteria; Enterobacterales; Enterobacteriaceae.
UGUUGGUUCUCCCGCAACGCUACUCUGUUUACCAGGUCAGGUCCGGAAGGAAGCAGCCAGAGCAGACUACGUGUGUGCCGGGAUGUAGCUGGCAGGG